CAUAACACCAACACAGAAAAAAAUAAUAUUACUAGAUUACAUUCAUAUCAAAGGAACUAGAUUCUGUUCCGAAAUAUCACUUACUCGAACCGUCAACAGUGCGGAUGUCGUUCGAUUUUUGAUUGAGUAACUUGCUGAUACAGCUUCUGAAAAAAAGAAAAAGGAUGAUGAAUUUUGUGGUUUUUGCUUUGGGGCAUCCAAGGAAACGGUGUAUACGUGCAUGACUGGGAUAAAAACUCGUAUUAACCCAUUGUCUUCCUGAGGCCCCCC
This is a non-coding RNA of Paramuricea clavata, 270 nucleotides long. Lineage: Eukaryota; Metazoa; Cnidaria; Anthozoa; Malacalcyonacea; Plexauridae. The record is from the annotation of a GenBank genome assembly.